GAUGAACGCUGGCGGCGUGCUUAACACAUGCAAGUCGAACGGAAAGGCCAGUGCUUUCACUGGUGCUCGAGUGGCGAACGGGUGAGUAACACGUGGGUGAUCUGCCCUUUACUUCGGGAUAAGCUUGGGAAACUGGGUCUAAUACCGGAUAGGACCUCUUUUUGCAUAUUGUUGUUGAGAGCUUUUGCGGUUUGGGGUGAGCUCUCGGCCUAUCAGCUCGUUGUUGGGGUAAUGGCCUAUCCAGACGUUGUCGGGUAGCCGGCCAGAGAGGGUGUACGGCCACAUUGGGAAGGAGAGAAGGGCCAGACUCCGACGGGAGGCAGCAGUGGGGAAUAUUGCACAAUGGGCGCAAGCCUGAUGCAGAGAAGCGGCGUGGGGGAUGAAGGCGUUCGGGGGGUAAACACCUUUCGCGAGGGACGAAGCGUGUGUGUGACGGUAACUGGAGAAGAAGCACCGGCUAACUACGUG
RNAcentral lists this ribosomal RNA (468 nucleotides) under uncultured bacterium. RNAcentral describes it as "partial 16S ribosomal RNA". It matches the Rfam family "Bacterial small subunit ribosomal RNA", at positions 28 to 507 of the family's 1533-position model. The record is from RNAcentral.